Molecule: ribosomal RNA, 496 nt
Filed under: uncultured bacterium
Lineage: Bacteria
Description: partial 16S ribosomal RNA
Rfam family: Bacterial small subunit ribosomal RNA
Source: RNAcentral
GAUGAACGCUAGCGGCAGGCCUAACACAUGCAAGUCGAGGGGUAGAGGUUGCUUGCAACCUUGAGACCGGCGCACGGGUGCGUAACGCGUAUGCAAUCUGCCUUGUACUGAGGGAUAGCCCAGAGAAAUUUGGAUUAAUACCUCAUAGUAUCUUUUCCCGGCAUCGGGAGAUUAUUAAAGUUCCAACGGUACAAGAUGAGCAUGCGUCCCAUUAGCUAGUUGGUAUGGUAACGGCAUACCAAGGCAAUGAUGGGUAGGGGUCCUGAGAGGGAGAGCCCCCGAACUGGUGCUGGGACACGGACCAGACUCCUACGGGAGGCAGCAGUGAGGAAUAUUGGUCAAUGGGCGCAAGCCUGAACCAGCCAUGCCGCGUGCAGGAUGAAGCAUCUAUGGUGUGUAAACUGCUUUUAUACGGGAAGAAACACCGGUUCGUGAACCGGCUUGACGGUACCGUAAGAAUAAGGAUCGGCUAACUCCGUGCCAGCCGCCGCCGUAA